Molecule: long non-coding RNA, 589 nt
Filed under: Pan troglodytes (chimpanzee)
Lineage: Eukaryota; Metazoa; Chordata; Mammalia; Primates; Hominidae
Description: long non-coding RNA NONPTRT001658
Source: RNAcentral
AAGAGACGAACAGGUCAUGGCAAUGGCAUUGCUCUGGCUUGCAGGCAUUGGAUCCAGUUUCUAAAAAUUUACACACACACACACACACACAAGCACAUACCCAUUUUAUUCACCCUCUAUAGGCUUGUGCCUCUAAUUUUAAGAUUUUCAGUUUGAUGUGUUGUGGGACAUCUCUGUAGUGGCUUAAAGAAAUAGAUGCAAAGAUGUGUGAUCUAGCUUCCAAUCUGCCAUUCUCCUGGGAUCAAAGUUAGAUGUCAGCAUUACUUUAUUCUAAUAUUUAACUGGUUCUUUGAAAUACUGUAGUUCAAAGAGAAAUGAGAGACAUUUCAAUAUUGUCAGAGUGGUUGACACUUUCUACCAUAUGGUCUCCAGAAAUAAAUGUGUAGGAAUUUUUUAAAGCCUCUAAUUUUAACUUGAUGGAAUUUAUUGAAAAUUAAUUUCAAGAUAACUCACUUUUCUGUCAACAUUUAAAUGACCAUUUUGCAGAAAUUUUCCAGACAGAGACAGAUCUUCCAGUCAUUCCCAAAGGUUUCAAAUCCAUUAUUGCUGAAUUACUAAUGACUUUUACUUGCGGAGCCCCUUUUUGACA